Molecule: long non-coding RNA, 402 nt
Filed under: Homo sapiens (human)
Lineage: Eukaryota; Metazoa; Chordata; Mammalia; Primates; Hominidae
Description: RARA-AS.5
Source: RNAcentral
CACUCUUGCCCUGUCCUGAGCCUCCAGGUUCAUCUCCGGCAUCUACUGGCCUCCAGAGAAAAAGAACAGAAGUUCCCAGCUGCAAGAAAAAGAAAAAAAAAAAAAAAGAGUCCAGGAGUAGAUCUCCCGCAAGUAUAUCUCUUCUUUCCCCAAACACCUCUGCAGCUCCAGUGGGUCCUAGGAACCCUGGCUCAACCCAACCCUCCCAGCCCCCUUAAAGUACUCUUCUCCUCAAAGGGCAAGACUUUUGGAUCUUCCAGUAGGGGCGCCCAGGAGCACCCCUCCGUGCUCAAAGACUCACACUCAAGCUUCUCUCUCCCGAACAAGUCUGGAGAAGCCAGGAAAGCUCUUUUUCAUGUUCCAGCUGGACAGGAUCUGAAUCACCCUCCAUCUGAGAGACCC